AGGAAAUGGACGAAGGGAUGCAAGGCACGAAGGAGCUAACCAAUAAGGGGUGGCAGAACACAGGAUCAAGCUUGCAACCAUGAAUAUGAAAGACUAUAUGUUUAAGAUGGUGGGAGCAGAAAAACAGGAGCCUGGGGAAUUGACAACAUCAUGAAUAUGCUGCACCAUUCUGGACCACUGCAGUCAGAUAACUCCUUAUAUGAGAAAAAUGGGUAACCUACUGGAUUAAGCACCUAUAGGUCGUGUUCUCUGUUGAAUGUAACCAAAAACAAACCUAAUUAAUUCAAAACUCUGUAGAAUUACAAGUAUUAGGAACCUUGAUAUUUGAUUAUUUGGUUAAGACCAAUAAAAGAAUGAAAGAUGAUAAUAUGUACAAAUGGAAAAGAAAAAUAAUAUGUGUGUGUUCUCUUAAACAUCUUCCAGUACAAGUUAUAACUUCAGCAAUUUUGAAAAUUUUUAGUGAUUCUAAAAUAAUGUGUUUUUAAUGACCAAAAGCAGGCUGCUAAUUCAUCAAGUAAAUAGUAAACUUGUUCCUACUUUGCUCAAAUAUGAAGCUGACUGAUAGAAAUCAUCAAAGUCCUUGGGUUAAAAUUGUUCAAAUUAGAAGUAUUGGUGUAUAAAGAAAAUUGACUUUUUACUAGGUUUGGUAAUUAUCCCUUCACAUGAUAGAAACAUAUGAUACAGC
RNAcentral lists this long non-coding RNA (685 nucleotides) under Homo sapiens (human). Its description in RNAcentral is "HSALNT0058069". The record is from RNAcentral. Lineage: Eukaryota; Metazoa; Chordata; Mammalia; Primates; Hominidae.